This 427-nucleotide ribosomal RNA is filed under the name uncultured Chlamydiae bacterium. Its description in RNAcentral is "bacterial SSU rRNA". It matches the Rfam family "Bacterial small subunit ribosomal RNA", at positions 958 to 1385 of the family's 1533-position model. Lineage: Bacteria; Pseudomonadati; Chlamydiota; Chlamydiia. The record is from RNAcentral.
AACGCGAAGAACCUUACCCAGGCUUGACAUGCAGUGGACGAUGCCAGAGAUGGCAUUUCCCUUCGGGGCUACUGCACAGGUGCUGCAUGGCUGUCGUCAGCUCGUGCCGUGAGGUGUUGGGUUAAGUCCCGCAACGAGCGCAACCCUUAUCAUUAGUUGCCAACACGUGAAGGUGGGAACUCUAAUGAGACUGCCUGGGUUAACCAGGAGGAAGGUGAGGAUGACGUCAAGUCCGCAUGGCCCUUAUGUCUGGGGCUACACACGUGCUACAAUGGUCGGUACAGAAGGCAGCGAAACCGCGAGGUGAAGCAAAUCCCAAAAGCCGAUCUCAGUUCAGAUUGUAGUCUGCAACUCGACUACAUGAAGACGGAAUUGCUAGUAAUGGCGUGUCAGCAACAACGCCGUGAAUACGUUCCCGGGCCUUGUA